GACGAACGCUGGCGGCGUGCUUAACACAUGCAAGUCGAACGGAAAGGCCCUGCUUUUGUGGGGUGCUCGAGUGGCGAACGGGUGAGUAACACGUGAGUAACCUGCCCUUGACUUUGGGAUAACUUCAGGAAACUGGGGCUAAUACCGGAUAGGAGCUCCUGCUGCAUGGUGGGGGUUGGAAAGUUUCGGCGGUUGGGGAUGGACUCGCGGCUUAUCAGCUUGUUGGUGGGGUAGUGGCUUACCAAGGCUUUGACGGGUAGCCGGCCUGAGAGGGUGACCGGCCACAUUGCGACUGCGAUACGGCCCAGUCUCCUACGGGAGGCAGCAGUGGGGAAUAUUGCACAAUGGGCGGAAGCCUGAUGCAGCAACGCCGCGUGCGGGAUGACGGCCUUCGGGUUGUAAACCGCUUUCGCCUGUGACGAAGCGUGAGUGACGGUAAUGGGUAAAGAAGCACCGGCUAACUACGUG
This 468-nucleotide ribosomal RNA is filed under the name uncultured bacterium. Its description in RNAcentral is "partial 16S ribosomal RNA". It matches the Rfam family "Bacterial small subunit ribosomal RNA", at positions 28 to 507 of the family's 1533-position model. The record is from RNAcentral.